This 352-nucleotide long non-coding RNA is filed under the name Cyanistes caeruleus (blue tit). Its description in RNAcentral is "lncRNA (ENSCCEG00000001015.1)". The record is from RNAcentral. Lineage: Eukaryota; Metazoa; Chordata; Aves; Passeriformes; Paridae.
GUUUCUUUUAUUAUUAUUCUUUAGGCUUAGUUAUGAGACUGCAAAGAGAAGCCAAAAUGAAGAACAUCUGCCUGAAUGCAGCCAAACACACACUGCAGCAAACCCAGAAGCACAGGCUGAAGCAGGCAAGUGUAAUCUUGGAAAAAUUGAAGUGAUUGAGGCAUGAUGACAUCUUGCUGUGUUUACCUGGCGGGUCUGCAAGCCAUGUGAACAAAGGCCAUGAGAUGCCACGAAUUUUCUCCAACCUUCUGCUAAAAUGGGGCUGGUAAGCAUAGUGUCAAAUGGCUCUUGAAGUUUUUACUCUUGAGUGUAUAUGGGAAAAAAAUAAUCUGUGGAAGGUGGUGGCAAGUAA